GUUACAGCACUGAAUACAAAUGAUGGCUUCAUCUACAUCAGGUUCUGAUUUGAAGAUUGUAAUGACUGAUGAAGAGAAGAGUGCUGAGGCAUCACCUACAUCAGUUUCUGGUGUGAGAACUGUGAGAACUGGAAAAACUGAUGAGAAGAGUGCUGAGGACUCAUCUAAAUCAGUGCUGUGUAAGUUACUAUAAAUUAGUGACUUAGUUCCAUUAUUAGUUACUUCUAUCAAAAGUAACUCAGUUACUUCAAGUUACUCGUUACUUUCAA
Long non-coding RNA from Haplochromis burtoni (Burton's mouthbrooder), 269 nucleotides. RefSeq lists it as uncharacterized. NCBI's taxonomy places the organism in Eukaryota, Metazoa, Chordata, Actinopteri, Cichliformes, Cichlidae. The transcript is spliced from 3 exons. The record is from RefSeq and is a predicted model, not a curated record.